UACAGAGGUCCCAAGCGUUGUUCGGAUUCACUGGGCGUAAAGGGUGCGUAGGUGGCCGGGUAAGUCUGACGUGAAAUCUCCGAGCCUAACUCGGAAACUGCAUCGGAUACUAUCCGGCUUGAGGAUUGGAGGGGGGACUGGAAUACUUGGUGUAGCAGUGAAAUGCGUAGAUAUCCGGAGGAACACCGGUGGCGAAGGCGGCAUCCUGGACCGACACUGACGCUGAGGAGCGAAAGCCAGGGGAGCAAACGGG
Molecule: ribosomal RNA, 253 nt
Filed under: uncultured bacterium
Lineage: Bacteria
Description: partial 16S ribosomal RNA
Rfam family: Bacterial small subunit ribosomal RNA
Source: RNAcentral